CGGCAUGCCUUACACAUGCAAGUCGAACGGCAGCACGGGAGCAAUCCUGGUGGCGAGUGGCGAACGGGUGAGUAAUAUAUCGGAACGUGCCCAGUCGUGGGGGAUAACGUAGCGAAAGCUACGCUAAUACCGCAUACGAUCUAUGGAUGAAANCGGGGGAUCGCAAGACCUCGCGCGAUUGGAGCGGCCGAUAUCAGAUUAGGUAGUUGGUGAGGUAAAGGCUCACCAAGCCAACGAUCUGUAGCUGGUCUGAGAGGACGACCAGCCACACUGGAACUGAGACACGGUCCAGACUCCUACGGGAGGCAGCAGUGGGGAAUUUUGGACAAUGGACGCAAGUCUGAUCCAGCCAUUCCGCGUGCAGGAUGAAGGCCCUCGGGUUGUAAACUGCUUUUGUACGGAACGAAAAGGUUUCUAUUAAUACUAGGAGCUCAUGACGGUACCGUAAGAAUAAGCACCGGCUAACUACGUG
This 472-nucleotide ribosomal RNA is filed under the name uncultured bacterium. RNAcentral describes it as "bacterial SSU rRNA". It matches the Rfam family "Bacterial small subunit ribosomal RNA", at positions 40 to 507 of the family's 1533-position model. The record is from RNAcentral.